UCCUCUCCUCUCUCCCAUUUUGUACAUUAGGAACACAUACAUUUAAAAUAUUUGAGAAGGAAAUGCAUGACCUAAGAUGUUCUGCACAGAGUGUCAAGCCAUUGCAGCAUGUAAUUUUAGGGAUGAAAAUUGGUAUUGUUAAAAGGAGAUGCUGAUGUAUCCAAAAAUCUGCAGUCCCAAAGGAAAUGGCUGCAGUGUAAUUUGCUACAGAUUAAAACCAGAGGGGAAGGGUCUCUACUGCCUGUCCUACUGCACUAAGAAUAAACAAAGCACAUUUAAAAAUGAUUAAUGGUGAGAGGAUACAAAGAAUAUUCAUUAUAGCAGAUGUUAAUAAACAGUGUUUAAUAUGAAGAAGGCUGUGCAGGAUGUCUGAUAUUUAUUUAUGUCUGCUCAGGAUUACAGAAAGAGAAGAGUAUAAAUUGUUCCUGACAUCUCAAUUCUCAACAGAAUUCUGUUGCAUGUAGAAAAGCUAUGUAAUAUUUUUUGUUUAUUAUAAGCUAUAUGACCUCUGAGUGUUGUUAUAAAAUAAAGUGUUGACAAAUGCUUUCCUCUAAGCAGAAAACGGUGCUGUCAGCCUGGAAGUGUGGAAUUGCUGUGUUUCAGCCAGCACUAAUUCACUAAGUUUUGAAGUGGUAACUGUAAUGAAGAAAUGCAGGCUUCCAAGAGAUGCUUUUAUCAGAUUUGGGAGAUAUGAAGAAGAGUGGGUUAGAGAGUGAAAAGAAGAACAAAUAUCAUGGAAGUAUCAAGGGAUGAAAAUGGCCAUCCAAGUGCGCUCAACUCAAGCGUUCCAUCAGAAUGAAAAGGCUGGCAAAGGAUGAGUCCAUUCCCAUACUCUGACAGGAUAACAAUGACUACUACCCUGUUCCUUUGUUUAAGUGCCUUAGGAAUAUGAA
This is a long non-coding RNA of Gallus gallus (chicken), 893 nucleotides long. RefSeq lists it as uncharacterized. NCBI's taxonomy places the organism in Eukaryota, Metazoa, Chordata, Aves, Galliformes, Phasianidae. The transcript is spliced from 3 exons. The record is from RefSeq and is a predicted model, not a curated record.